GGAGUUGGCUAGACAGCCGCUGUGGCAACACAGAGGAAAGUCCGGGCUCCAUAGGGCAGGGUGCCAGGUAACGCCUGGACGCCGCGAGGCGAUGGAAAGUGGCACAGAAAAUAUACCGCCGAUGGCCGGCCGCGAGGACGGAUCAGGUAAGGUUGAAAAGGUGCGAUAGCACCUUUCAGUGAAGGCUAAUGCGGCUUGCCGCGUUAUGCCGGAGCUAAAAGGCGCGAACUUCCGCAAGGAAGGUCGGGUCCGCCGAAAGGCGGGUCAGGUAAGAGCUCACCGCGUUCCUGGUAACAGGAAUGGCACGUUAAACCCCACCCGGAGCAAGGCCAAAUAGGCAGGCGUUGAGGCGGCCCGCCGAGCCUGCGGGUAGGCUGCACGAGGCGACGGGCGACCGUCGUCCCAGAUGAAUGGCUGUCCACGACAGAACCCGGCUUACCGGCCGACUCCUUUU
This 454-nucleotide RNase P RNA is filed under the name Hydrogenophilaceae bacterium CG1_02_62_390. Its description in RNAcentral is "RNase P RNA component class A". It matches the Rfam family "Bacterial RNase P class A". From Rfam's summary of the family: Ribonuclease P (RNase P) is a ubiquitous endoribonuclease, found in archaea, bacteria and eukarya as well as chloroplasts and mitochondria. Its best characterised activity is the generation of mature 5'-ends of tRNAs by cleaving the 5'-leader elements of precursor-tRNAs. Lineage: Bacteria; Pseudomonadati; Pseudomonadota; Hydrogenophilia; Hydrogenophilales; Hydrogenophilaceae. RNAcentral also lists the same sequence under 6 other names. The record is from RNAcentral.